RNAcentral lists this ribosomal RNA (440 nucleotides) under uncultured bacterium. RNAcentral describes it as "partial 16S ribosomal RNA". It matches the Rfam family "Bacterial small subunit ribosomal RNA", at positions 338 to 795 of the family's 1533-position model. The record is from RNAcentral.
CCUACGGGAGGCAGCAGUAGGGAAUCUUCCGCAAUGGACGAAAGCCUGACGCAGCAACGCCGCGUGGGGGAUGAAGGUUUUCGGAUUGUAAACUCCUGUUGUUAGAGAAGAUCAUGACGGUUUCUAACGAAUAAGCACCGGCUAACUACUGACCAGAAGCCGCGGUAAUACGGAGGGUGCACGCGAUCGGCGGAAGCACUGGGCGUAGGGAGCGCGGAGGCGGGAUAGCAAGGAGGAUGUGAAAGCCUAUGGCUGAACCAUAGAAGUGAAUUUGAAACUGUUAGGCUAGAGUGUGGGAGAGGUAGGUGGAAUUCUUGGUGUAGGGGUGAAAUCCGUAGAGAUAAAGAGGAAUACUCGUGGCGAAGGCGACCCGCUGGAACAUAACUGACGCUGAGGCGCGAAAGCGUGGGGAGCAAACAGGAUUAGAUACCCGGGUAGUC